AUAAGUGGCAAUGAUGAUUUAUGUGAUCCCAGCUCUUUGAGGCCUUUUACAUUUGUUGUAUAAGGUCUGGGAAAAUAACUUGUUCCACAUUUUUUCUGAGCCUUUAA
RNAcentral lists this small nucleolar RNA (107 nucleotides) under Lupinus albus (white lupine). The record is from RNAcentral. Lineage: Eukaryota; Viridiplantae; Streptophyta; Magnoliopsida; Fabales; Fabaceae.